Molecule: ribosomal RNA, 330 nt
Filed under: Caeciliusidae gen. sp. KY390
Lineage: Eukaryota; Metazoa; Arthropoda; Insecta; Psocodea; Caeciliusidae
Description: partial 12S rRNA
Source: RNAcentral
CCCUAUUAUAUUUAUGAAAUUUAAUAUGAGGUAGUAAUUGUUAAAUCAUGAAACUUAAAGAAUUUGGCGGUGUUUAUUCAAAUUAGAGGAAUAUGUAUUUUAAAUGAUAAUCCACAAAAGUCUUACUUAAUUUAAAUAAUUUUGUAUAUCUCCGUCUGAAAAAUUUUUUUUAAAAUUUUGUUUGUAAAUUUGAGUAAGUAUAAGUCAGGUCAAGGUGCAGGUUAUAAUUAAGUUAAUAUGUAUUACAUUAAAAUUAUUUAUGAAUAAAUUAAUUAAAAUUAAUAUUGAAAUUGGAUUUAAAAGUAAAUUUAUUUAUGUAAUAAUAAAUUG